RNAcentral lists this ribosomal RNA (334 nucleotides) under uncultured bacterium. RNAcentral's name for it is "bacterial SSU rRNA". It matches the Rfam family "Bacterial small subunit ribosomal RNA", at positions 28 to 360 of the family's 1533-position model. The record is from RNAcentral.
GAUGAACGCUAGCGGCAGGCCUAAUACAUGCAAGUCGAACGGUAAGGCCCUUUCGGGGUACACGAGUGGCGGACGGGUGCGUAACGCGUACACAACGUACCUCUGACAGGGGGAUAGCAUUGGGAAACUGGUGGUAAUACCCCAUAGUAUUGCUGGGAGGCAUUUCUUUGGCAAUUAAAGUUACGGCGGUCAGAGAUCGGUGUGCGUCCGAUUAGCUAGUUGGCGGGGUAACGGCCCACCAAGGCGACGAUCGGUAGGGGGUGGUGAGAGCAUGACCCCCACCACUAGGUACGGUGAGAGACGGACCCGAACCUACCUACCGGUACGGGACGGA